RNAcentral lists this ribosomal RNA (483 nucleotides) under uncultured bacterium. RNAcentral describes it as "partial 16S ribosomal RNA". It matches the Rfam family "Bacterial small subunit ribosomal RNA", at positions 28 to 523 of the family's 1533-position model. The record is from RNAcentral.
GACGAACGCUGGCGGCGUGCUUAACACAUGCAAGUCGAACGAUGAAGCCGGAGCUUGCUCCGGUGGAUUAGUGGCGAACGGGUGAGUAACACGUGAGCAAUCUGCCCUUGACUCUGGGAUAACUGCGGGAAACUGUAGCAAAUACCGGAUACGACACCUUGGGGCAUCCUAGGGUGUGGAAAGAAUUUCGGUCAAGGAUGAGCUCGCGGCCUAUCAGCUAGUUGGUGAGGUAAUGGCUCACCAAGGCGACGACGGGUAGCCGGCCUGAGAGGGUGACCGGCCACACUGGAACUGAGACACGGUCCAGACUCCGACGGGAGGCAGCAGUGGGGAAUAUUGCACAAUGGGCGAAAGCCUGAUGCAGCAACGCCGCGUGAGGGAUGAAGGCCUUCGGGUUGUAAACCUCUUUUAGCAGGGAAGAAGCGAAAGUGACGGUACCUGCAGAAAAAGCACCGGCUAACUACGUGCCAGCAGCCGCAGUAA